This 26-nucleotide non-coding RNA is filed under the name Homo sapiens (human). Lineage: Eukaryota; Metazoa; Chordata; Mammalia; Primates; Hominidae. The record is from RNAcentral.
UGCAAAAGCCCUUGCUGGCAACGAAA